UGGCCUCCUCACUCGGAUAAUUCCCCCACUGCACAUUGACACUUGUACAUGUUUUAUUUCAGAUACGAUGCUGCAUUGAUUGAUCAAUUUUUUUUCUUCCUUCCCCAAAUCGAUUAUGCAAAUCGUGUGGUGUCGCUCGUCAACUUCUCCAAGACGCAUCAUCCCCAAAUCGUUUUUUUUUGUAAACUGAUGUGAAUCGAUUUUCCCUAAAAGCGUCGUCCCCAAAUCGGUUUUUUGCAACUCGAUUUCUUAAAAACUGAAGAUGUACUCUGGAAUUAGUUUUGAAAUUUGAAGGUAUAGUCUGAAAAAAAAUUCCUCUCUAAAUUUUCUACUACAGACUUCAUUUCUUGCCGUUCUUGCAUCUAGUGUUCAAAAUAAUUUUCAAGAUUGAAGAUAGUUUCUUGCAGAGCAUCUACAAACAUUUUUCACAUUGCAAAUAUAUUGGAUCAGCAAUCUUCUUGGAUCAUUUUUUUUUUCAUUUCCAGAUUUGAAGGACGAGUUUGGAUUUGUUUUUUUUUCUGACGGUUAAUUGCAGACUCCCGAAGUGCAAUGUUUAGACGAUUGUAGAUUGUGUUAUGCUUACAGAAUGGCUGAUCGCAGAAAUUCAAAGAGUACUGGUCCGGCGAAUACUGUUUCAAUUAACUAUAAUCAUUCUUGCCUCCUCCUUAUCAAAUAACUUGUUUUGCUCUCAAAUUGAUCACUGGAUCAGGAUUCCUGCAUGGCCUCUUGAGAAAGCAGACACAUAUUUGUUUUAGCGAGCUAAGUUCGAAAAGAUUUUGAAUGUCAAUCAUCUAUUGGAUGUUAUUGAUCCUUCUCAACCAAUUCCCGCUAAGAAGAAGGAUGAUGGCUCUUUCAAUCCAGAAUAUUUUGCUUGGAAAGAGAAUAAUUGAGUGAUAUUAGGUUGGAUACAGUCAUUUAUAGGACCAUCUAUGUUUUCGUUUGUGAUGAAUCACAAGUCGACACGUGAUUCUUUGGUUAAUGCUUGAGACGCAUUUGUCACCUCGUAAGAUGUGCAAUACUCAGAUGGUUAGAGACCAACUUAGAGACAUCAAGAAAUCUGACUCUGAAUCAACGACAGAUUAUAUGUUAUAAGAGUUCGUGCAUUGAUUGAUUGUUUGUCGACUAUAUGUUUUAAUAUUAUUUUAUUAUGAUUAGGGGAUAUUAACAAUUAACCCCUAUUUAAGUUGAUUUGGUAAGUAGCUAUAAUUUAGGAUUUCCUUCUCGAUUCUAGUUGAUUGACAAUUAGCUAUAAUUUAAGAUAUCUUUCUUAUUUCAUUAAGAUAUGAUUUUAUUUGUAAAGCUAUAUAAAACCACG
Molecule: long non-coding RNA, 1315 nt
Filed under: Zostera marina
Lineage: Eukaryota; Viridiplantae; Streptophyta; Magnoliopsida; Alismatales; Zosteraceae
Description: long non-coding RNA (ZMAR_LNC001250)
Source: RNAcentral